Molecule: long non-coding RNA, 1106 nt
Organism: Homo sapiens (human)
Lineage: Eukaryota; Metazoa; Chordata; Mammalia; Primates; Hominidae
Gene: ZNF702P
Product: zinc finger protein 702, pseudogene
Source: Ensembl
GAAACAGAUCGCGCGGAGUGAACCUGGUAUGGCGGCGCGUGGAUUUCCCUCUGUCUAUUAUUAAGAUUAAACUUGGGCUUCGCAGUCCUCUCACCUCCAUACCCCGGAUUUGGAGGUUCGUACACGCCUGAAAAUUCUCAUACCGCUCCCCUCACUGCUAGUAAGUCACACAUCGCUAUGAGACUCUUGGGGUCGUUUCAGUGAUUUGGGGUAAAAUCAUUCUGAGGCUGGUUCCGUCGCCGGUGUUUCUGCCUUCAGGUCAUGUAGACAUGUUCUUUCCUUAAAUUUUUCCGUUCGAAACCCUGUACUGACCCCUCAUCCUGCCCCGCACUUUUUCAAGUCCUCACCCGCGAGGUGGAGUCGCGUCCUGGGCGCCUCCCAGCCUCGCCCUCGUCGGCCCCGCAGCCCCAGUCCCAGGGAGGCUGCGUCCUCUGCCUGGCGGGAUCCUGCAGACCCCACCCCUAUCCUAAGGCGCCUUCGCCCCCACCUCCCUCCAACUCUUGCUGGGCCCUGCUGCUCCCCAGGCCUCUCGUUUGCAGUCCCCGCUUCCCCUGAGCCCGCGUUAGGGAGGUGCCCAGGGCCUGUCCUGUGACACCUGGUGUUCUUGCCUUCCCAGCUCCACCCCCUGGAAAAAUGUGCUCCUGCGGGAUGCAGGUGUCUUACCCUAAACCCUCCUGUGAAUGUGUGGGCCAAGGGGAUCUGGAAACAGGGACUGCGAGAGAAGUAGACAAACUGAGACAGAGAAUGAGGGAAACCCAUAAACAGAUGGCAAAAUGGAGGAUGCGUGGGGGAUUCGCGAAGAGACAGGAAGAGUCAAAGAAGAAGCUGAGAAAGUAACAGGAUGGGGAAACAACUGGAGAAAUGUAGAGAAAAGCUCCAUGUCCAGAAAGGUGAAGGACAGCAAGGUAGGGAGAGGGGCAGCAGAGGGGAGGCUCCUCAGACAGAGAGUGAGGGAGAGGAGGAGGGAUUUGGAGCCACGGCAGGCAGCAGCGUGGUGCUGGGACAGCAAGAAGGGGCAACUGGUGACAAGGAGAGCAGAAGAAGAACCACAGCAGGGUGCUCAGGGAUUAUUGGUUCAAAUUCAUUAAAAGCUAUAGGCCUGUUCA